GACGAACGCUGGCGGCGUGCCUAAUACAUGCAAGUUGAGCGCUGAAGGUUGGUACUUGUACCAACUGGAUGAGCAGCGAACGGGUGAGUAACGCGUGGGGAAUCUGCCUUUGAGCGGGGGACAACAUUUGGAAACGAAUGCUAAUACCGCAUAAAAACUUUAAACACAAGUUUUAAGUUUGAAAGAUGCAAUUGCAUCACUCAAAGAUGAUCCCGCGUUGUAUUAGCUAGUUGGUGAGGUAAAGGCUCACCAAGGCGAUGAUACAUAGCCGACCCGAGAGGGUGAUCGGCCACAUUGGGACUGAGACACGGCCCAAACUCCUACGGGAGGCAGCAGUAGGGAAUCUUCGGCAGUGGACGAAAGUCUGACCGAGCAACGCCGCGUGAGUGAAGAAGGGUUUCGGAUCGUAAAAUUCUGUUGGUAGAGAAGAACGUUGGUGAGAGUGGAAAGCUCAUCAAGUGACGGUAACUACCCAGAAAGGGACGGCUAACUACGUG
RNAcentral lists this ribosomal RNA (497 nucleotides) under uncultured bacterium. Its description in RNAcentral is "partial 16S ribosomal RNA". It matches the Rfam family "Bacterial small subunit ribosomal RNA", at positions 28 to 507 of the family's 1533-position model. The record is from RNAcentral.